RNAcentral lists this ribosomal RNA (110 nucleotides) under uncultured bacterium. Its description in RNAcentral is "partial 16S ribosomal RNA". It matches the Rfam family "Bacterial small subunit ribosomal RNA", at positions 1360 to 1482 of the family's 1533-position model. The record is from RNAcentral.
CGGUGAAUACGUUCCCGGGUCUUGUACANACCGCCCGUCACACCACGAAAGCCCGUUGCAACAGAAGUCCCAGGUUUCCUGGGCCGAAGUUGUGACUGGUGAUUGGGGUG